RNAcentral lists this ribosomal RNA (451 nucleotides) under HMWdDNA-degrading marine bacterium 9. RNAcentral's name for it is "bacterial SSU rRNA". It matches the Rfam family "Bacterial small subunit ribosomal RNA", at positions 12 to 468 of the family's 1533-position model. The record is from RNAcentral. RNAcentral also lists the same sequence under 1 other name.
UUUGAUCCUGGCUCAGAUUGAACGCUGGCGGCAGGCCUAACACAUGCAAGUCGAACGGUAACAUUUCUAGCUUGCUAGAAGAUGACGAGUGGCGGACGGGUGAGUAAUGCUUGGGAACUUGCCUUUGCGAGGGGGAUAACAGUUGGAAACGACUGCUAAUACCGCAUAAUGUCUUCGGACCAAACGGGGCUUAGGCUCCGGCGCAAAGAGAGGCCCAAGUGAGAUUAGCUAGUUGGUAGGGUAACGGCUUACCAAGGCGACGAUCUCUAGCUGUUCUGAGAGGAAGAUCAGCCACACUGGGACUGAGACACGGCCCAGACUCCUACGGGAGGCAGCAGUGGGGAAUAUUGCACAAUGGGGGAAACCCUGAUGCAGCCAUGCCGCGUGUGUGAAGAAGGCCUUCGGGUUGUAAAGCACUUUCAGUUGUGAGGAAAAGUUAGUAGUUAAUACC